UGCAGUCGACGAUGACUGGAGCUUGCUCCAGGGAUUAGUGGCGAACGGGUGAGUAACACGUGAGUAACCUGCCCUUGACUCUGGGAUAAGCGCUAGAAAUGGCGUCUAAUACCGGAUACGAGCUUCAGCCGCAUGGCUAGGAGUUGGAAAGAAUUUUGGUCAAGGAUGGACUCGCGGCCUAUCAGCUAGUUGGUGAGGUAAUGGCUCACCAAGGCGACGACGGGUAGCCGGCCUGAGAGGGUGACCGGCCACACUGGGACUGAGACACGGCCCAGACUCCUACGGGAGGCAGCAGUGGGGAAUAUUGCACAAUGGGCGAAAGCUUGAUGCAGCAACGCCGCGUGAGGGAUGACGGCCUUCGGGUUGUAAACCUCUUUUAGUAGGGAAGAAGCGAAAGUGACGGUACCUGCAGAAAAAGCACCGGCUAACUACGUGCCAGCAGCCGCGGUAAUACGUAGGGUGCAAGCGUUGUCCGGAAUUAUUGGGCGUAAAGAGCUCGUAGGCGGUUUGUCGCGUCUGCUGUGAAAUCUGGGGGCUCAACCCCCAGCCUGCAGUGGGUACGGGCAGACUAGAGUGCGGUAGGGGAGAUUGGAAUUCCUGGUGUAGCGGUGGAAUGCGCAGAUAUCAGGAGGAACACCGAUAGCGAAGGCAGAUCUCU
Molecule: ribosomal RNA, 658 nt
Filed under: Frigoribacterium sp.
Lineage: Bacteria; Bacillati; Actinomycetota; Actinomycetes; Micrococcales; Microbacteriaceae
Description: bacterial SSU rRNA
Rfam family: Bacterial small subunit ribosomal RNA
Source: RNAcentral